ACGGGAGUAGCAAUACAACUGGUGGCGACCGGCGCGACGGGUGGAGUAACGCGUAUGCCAACCUACCUAUCAGGAGGGGAAGUAACCCGGACGAAAGUCGGACUAAUACCGCAUAAAACAGGGGCACCGCAUGGUGAUAUUUGUUAAAGAAAUUCGCUGAUAGAUGGGCAUGCGUUCCAUUAGGUAGUUGGUGAGGUAACGGCUCACCAAGCCGACGAUGGAUAGGGGAACUGAGAGGUUGGUCCCCCACACUGGUACUGAGACACGGACCAGACUCCUACGGGAGGCAGCAGUGAGGAAUAUUGGUCAAUGGGCGGGAGCCUGAACCAGCCAAGUCGCGUGAAGGAAAGAAGGAUCUAUGGUUCGUAAACUUCUUUUGCAGGGGAAUAAAGUGCAGGACGUGUCCUGUUUUGUAUGUACCCUGAGAAUAAGGAUCGGCUAACUCCGUGCCAGCAGCUGC
Molecule: ribosomal RNA, 460 nt
Filed under: uncultured bacterium
Lineage: Bacteria
Description: bacterial SSU rRNA
Rfam family: Bacterial small subunit ribosomal RNA
Source: RNAcentral